CUGCCUGCCCAGUGACACUAAGUUUAACGGCCGCGGUAUUAUGACCGUGCAAAGGUAGCGUAAUCACUUGUCUUUUAAAUAAAGACCAGUAUGAAUGGCAAGACGAAAGUUCAACUGUCUCCCUAAAUUAAUCAAUGAAAUUGAUUUUUCCGUGCAGAAGCGGAAAUAUAAUUAUAAGACGAGAAGACCCUAUGGAGCUUUAAACAUAUGAUCAAUUGCAUAACAUAAAAUCCAAAAGAUAAAAUAUUUAAUAAAACAAUAUGAUCAAAAUUUUAGGUUGGGGCGACCACGGAGAAAAACAAAACCUCCGAGAUGAAAAGAAUAUCUUAAUUCAAGAACUACAAUUCUAAAAAAUAAAAUAUUUAACAUAAUUGAUCCAAUACUUUGAUCAACGAACCAAGUUACCCUAGGGAUAACAGCGCAAUCCUCUCCAAGAGUCCCUAUCGACGAGCGGGUUUACGACCUCGAUGUUGGAUCAGGACAUCCCAAUGGUGCAGCCGCUAUUAAAGGUUCGUUUGUUCAACGAUUAAA
Molecule: ribosomal RNA, 531 nt
Filed under: Hynobius kimurae (Hida salamander)
Lineage: Eukaryota; Metazoa; Chordata; Amphibia; Caudata; Hynobiidae
Description: partial large subunit ribosomal RNA
Rfam family: Bacterial large subunit ribosomal RNA
Source: RNAcentral